GGCUACAUAGCUCAGCGGUAGAGCAACCGGCUGUUAACCGGUUGGUCGUAGGUUCGAUCCCUACUGUAGCCGCCA
Molecule: transfer RNA, 75 nt
Filed under: Ureaplasma urealyticum
Lineage: Bacteria; Bacillati; Mycoplasmatota; Mycoplasmoidales; Mycoplasmoidaceae
Also listed under: 6 other names
Description: tRNA-Asn
Rfam family: tRNA
About the family: Transfer RNA (tRNA) molecules are approximately 80 nucleotides in length.
Source: RNAcentral